This 422-nucleotide ribosomal RNA is filed under the name uncultured bacterium. RNAcentral's name for it is "partial 16S ribosomal RNA". It matches the Rfam family "Bacterial small subunit ribosomal RNA", at positions 360 to 774 of the family's 1533-position model. The record is from RNAcentral.
AAUUUUGGAGAAUGGGGGAGACCCUGAUCCAGCCAUCCCGCGUGUAUAAUGAAGGGCUUCGGGUUGUAAAGUAUUCUUUUCAGAGAGGAAAAGGUAUCGCCGAAUCUGAGAUAUUGCGGACGGUAUCUGCAGUUUAAGCACCGGCUAACUUCGUGCCAGCAGCCGCGGUAAUACGGAGGGUGCAAGCGUUAAUCGGAAUUAAUGGGCGUAAAGCGUGUAUAGGCGGUGCAGAAAAAAAGAUGUUGAAACCCAGGGCACAACCUUGGAACUGCAUUCUUAACUGCCUAGCUAGAGUAUGUCAGAGGGGUGUAGAAUUCCACGUGUAGCAGUGAAAAGCGUAGAUAUGUGGAGGAAUACCGAUGGCGGAGGCAGCCCCCUGGGAUAAUACUGACGCUCAGACCCGAAAGCGUGGGGAGCAAACA